This 885-nucleotide ribosomal RNA is filed under the name Mycobacterium sp. Pao29. Its description in RNAcentral is "bacterial SSU rRNA". It matches the Rfam family "Bacterial small subunit ribosomal RNA", at positions 74 to 973 of the family's 1533-position model. The record is from RNAcentral. Lineage: Bacteria; Bacillati; Actinomycetota; Actinomycetes; Mycobacteriales; Mycobacteriaceae.
GGCCUUUCGGGGUACACGAGUGGCGAACGGGUGAGUAACACGUGGGUGAUCUGCCCUGCACUUUGGGAUAAGCCUGGGAAACUGGGUCUAAUACCGAAUAUGACCUUGGGAUGCAUGUUCCUUGGUGGAAAGCUUUUGCGGUGUGGGAUGGGCCCGCGGCCUAUCAGCUUGUUGGUGGGGUGAUGGCCUACCAAGGCGACGACGGGUAGCCGGCCUGAGAGGGUGUCCGGCCACACUGGGACUGAGAUACGGCCCAGACUCCUACGGGAGGCAGCAGUGGGGAAUAUUGCACAAUGGGCGCAAGCCUGAUGCAGCGACGCCGCGUGAGGGACGACGGCCUUCGGGUUGUAAACCUCUUUCAGCACAGACGAAGCGUGAGUGACGGUAUGUGCAGAAGAAGCACCGGCCAACUACGUGCCAGCAGCCGCGGUAAUACGUAGGGUGCGAGCGUUGUCCGGAAUUACUGGGCGUAAAGAGCUCGUAGGUGGUUUGUCGCGUUGUUCGUGAAAACUCACAGCUCAACUGUGGGCGUGCGGGCGAUACGGGCAGACUGGAGUACUGCAGGGGAGACUGGAAUUCCUGGUGUAGCGGUGGAAUGCGCAGAUAUCAGGAGGAACACCGGUGGCGAAGGCGGGUCUCUGGGCAGUAACUGACGCUGAGGAGCGAAAGCGUGGGGAGCGAACAGGAUUAGAUACCCUGGUAGUCCACGCCGUAAACGGUGGGUACUAGGUGUGGGUUUCCUUCCUUGGGAUCCGUGCCGUAGCUAACGCAUUAAGUACCCCGCCUGGGGAGUACGGCCGCAAGGCUAAAACUCAAAGAAAUUGACGGGGGCCCGCACAAGCGGCGGAGCAUGUGGAUUAAUUCGAUGCAACGCGAAGAACCUUA